CAUUACAUCACUUAUCUCUCUCUUCAUUUCUUCCUCAUCCUCAUUUCUACUGCACGAGUUUGAGUGAAAGAAGGGAUCGGGAGGACUCUCAAAGGGAGAGCCGGGGAGAUCUCAGCAGGGUCAGAAAUGCGAUUUGGCAGUAAACAGGUUUAUUGCAUAGAAUGAUAAAACCCGAGUUAUUCAGAAAGUUGCUCUAUAAAUAUCAGUUGCAACAACACACAUUCAUAAAUUACAGGUUCUUCUCUCUCUUUACUUUUACUUUCAUAUCUUUUUUUGUCUUUGUAUUUUUUGUAUUAUAAUAUUUCGCUAAUUAUCUUGACCAUUUAUAUUUUACAGAUUUUUUAAGGUACGUGAACAUUAUCUAAAAUUUUUCUCUUUUUACAUAGCUCAAACUCUUUAUUGAUUUUUAGUUUGUAUUUAUUUUGAUGAUCAUUAAGGUUUGUUAGCUCUACCUAACAUUUUUCUUUUUUACAUUGCUUCCCUUUGUAUUUUUUAGUUAGUUGUUUGUGUUUAUUAUUGUAUUUAUUUAUAAUUCUAACUAUUACAUUUACACAACAUAAAUCAAUAGAAAACAGAAUCAGAUUUCUUCCAA
Salvia splendens (bonfire salvia) is the source of this 592-nucleotide long non-coding RNA. RefSeq lists it as uncharacterized. NCBI's taxonomy places the organism in Eukaryota, Viridiplantae, Streptophyta, Magnoliopsida, Lamiales, Lamiaceae. The record is from RefSeq and is a predicted model, not a curated record. The transcript has 2 exons.